Long non-coding RNA from Osmia bicornis bicornis, 1821 nucleotides. RefSeq lists it as uncharacterized. The transcript has 5 exons. The record is from RefSeq and is a predicted model, not a curated record. Lineage: Eukaryota; Metazoa; Arthropoda; Insecta; Hymenoptera; Megachilidae.
CUGAGUUCAAUCGUAUCAUUACCGGUGUACUACAGUGUAAGUGUUCGCGCCAAAAAAAGAUGAAAAGUGUUUAGAAGUUGUAAAACCAGCAACGAGCUGCGCGAAAUUGCUGUUUAUUCGGAAAGUGGACGGGGAACAUGGACCACAAAUUGAAUGCAAAUACCUUGGUGAAAAUUCGGCGAAGAAGCUGGCGAUAGCUGGAUGGAGCAGAUUAAAAGCAAAUACAUAUGUAGGUUGAACAGGAGGAAGAGUUUGAAAACGACGUCGACCGAGACCAUGCUCAACGUCAGCCAGGAUUAAACUUAGUUUCGAAGCGCAAAACGCAUUUUCCAUAAGCAUAAGGGAACCCAUACCAUCCUGCCGCUGAAUCGGGCUGUCGCUCUUUAAGUAGAAAGUUGGCACAUAGAGGAUGGAGACGAGAAGCAGGAGCCAAGUGCUCCUCGGCGUAGCGCGCUUGAGAAAGUAAAUACGUGUCCACUUUUUUCUCUUUUUUAUUUCAGCCUUCAGCGGCUCUGGAAAUACAUACAUCCGGAGUCCCAGGAACACGGGAGUCGCUCGUCUUUUCUCUCCACGUUUCGGAGAUCGACGUCGAACGAUUCCGAACGAAAUCGUUAGAAAAUUUGAAGAAUCGUCGGGGUCUGGGGUGAAGGUAAUCAGCGAGAGGAAACUUACGAUCUUUUUCCUUUGUUACAACAAACAGAGUGAAAAUUUCUCGAAUGGUAGGAAAAACUCCCUCGCAGAUACGCGUGAUGCGAAAAAGAAUUCAUCAAGAUUCAAAGAGAUUUCUUUCUGAAACGAGACCGCUUUCGCGAGUUGAGAAGCGUCGAAACAUUCCCAAAAGGUUUUGCAGCACGGCACGAUGCGGUGCGGCGGAAACACGCGCGACCGGAAAUUAGCUGAAAUGGAAGCGCGACCAACCCCCCGAGGCGCUCUUCUCAGCGUUGCGGAAUAAACAAAGCGCGAAAAUACCCUUUCAUCCCCCGUGACUGUUCGAUAUUAUCCCUUCGAGAGGAUAAAGUUCCUCCUCGCUCGAGUCCAAUUCGCUCGAAGAAACGCGGAGAGGAAUGCGAGUGGAGUGUCGAUUCGAAAGUUUCCUCGGAGAAACUUGCUACUCGUCGUGAUAAUCGUCGCGCAAGGAGCAAUAUCGAACGAGUAUUAUCGCAAAGAGAAAGAAAUAUUCGUACGAAGAGACAUUGUCGGUCCAAUAUCAGCACCGACUAUUACGCAGAGAAAAUAAAAGGAAGAAGCUGUCGGUCGGUGAAAGGCACGUUGCUUCGUAAACUUUGAACAGCUUUGGGGACCUUAGAGAUCCGAAUGUCUCGCGUGCGAUUCGCAACAAAGAAAAGAAACGACCAUCAUUUAUUUUGUCCGACAGAAUGGCCACGGACGUCGAUGCCUCGGCCAAGGAGAACGUUAAUGGAAACACCCGGUAUAUCGAAUUACCCGAGUCGCCUGGUACAUCGGUUAUUUAAUCCAAAGUGUGGAAAGCGGACGUGAAGAACGGGACGAAGAUGAAGGAAAGAUGAGAAGACGAGGGAAUGACGAACAGAAAUUUUCGAGACAUGCAUGAAAUUCAUCAACUAUGGUACGACGUUGACGAGGAAUGCACGAAAUGAAAAAUCUAGCUAGGAUGGAAUGCUUUAAGAUUCCGGAGGAAUUUCUCGUACGCGCUUUUCUCGUUCUUAAUUGAUGGGGUAUCGUUUAAGUUUUCCGAUAAUUCGAGGAGGUUACCUGUUCCGUAAAAUAUUCGACAGUCGUCUGGUUGCUUCAGUAUCUUGUCGAGAACCUCGGCAUCGACCACUUGACCCGGUGAAACGCAAC